This 2813-nucleotide ribosomal RNA is filed under the name Bacillus anthracis str. Tsiankovskii-I. RNAcentral describes it as "bacterial LSU rRNA". It matches the Rfam family "Bacterial large subunit ribosomal RNA". Lineage: Bacteria; Bacillati; Bacillota; Bacilli; Caryophanales; Bacillaceae. The record is from RNAcentral.
AGGGCGCACGGUGGAUGCCUUGACACUAGGAGUCGAUGAAGGACGGGACUAACGCCGAUAUGCUUCGGGGAGCUGUAAGUAAGCUUUGAUCCGAAGAUUUCCGAAUGGGGAAACCCACCAUACGUAAUGGUAUGGUAUCCUUAUCUGAAUACAUAGGGUAAGGAAGACAGACCCAGGGAACUGAAACAUCUAAGUACCUGGAGGAAGAGAAAGCAAAUGCGAUUUCCUGAGUAGCGGCGAGCGAAACGGAACAUAGCCCAAACCAAGAGGCUUGCCUCUUGGGGUUGUAGGACAUUCUAUACGGAGUUACAAAGGAACGAGGUAGACGAAGCGACCUGGAAAGGUCCGUCGUAGAGGGUAACAACCCCGUAGUCGAAACUUCGUUCUCUCUUGAAUGUAUCCUGAGUACGGCGGAACACGUGAAAUUCCGUCGGAAUCUGGGAGGACCAUCUCCCAAGGCUAAAUACUCCCUAGUGAUCGAUAGUGAACCAGUACCGUGAGAGAAAGGUGAAAAGCACCCCGGAAGGGGAGUGAAAGAGAUCCUGAAACCGUGUGCCUACAAAUAGUCAGAGCCCGUUAACGGGUGAUGGCGUGCCUUUUGUAGAAUGAACCGGCGAGUUACGAUCCCGUGCGAGGUUAAGCUGAAGAGGCGGAGCCGCAGCGAAAGCGAGUCUGAAUAGGGCGUUUAGUACGUGGUCGUAGACCCGAAACCAGGUGAUCUACCCAUGUCCAGGGUGAAGUUCAGGUAACACUGAAUGGAGGCCCGAACCCACGCACGUUGAAAAGUGCGGGGAUGAGGUGUGGGUAGCGGAGAAAUUCCAAUCGAACCUGGAGAUAGCUGGUUCUCCCCGAAAUAGCUUUAGGGCUAGCCUUAAGUGUAAGAGUCUUGGAGGUAGAGCACUGAUUGGACUAGGGGUCCUCAUCGGAUUACCGAAUUCAGUCAAACUCCGAAUGCCAAUGACUUAUCCUUAGGAGUCAGACUGCGAGUGAUAAGAUCCGUAGUCAAAAGGGAAACAGCCCAGACCGCCAGCUAAGGUCCCAAAGUGUGUAUUAAGUGGAAAAGGAUGUGGAGUUGCUUAGACAACUAGGAUGUUGGCUUAGAAGCAGCCACCAUUUAAAGAGUGCGUAAUAGCUCACUAGUCGAGUGACUCUGCGCCGAAAAUGUACCGGGGCUAAAUACACCACCGAAGCUGCGGAUUGAUACCAAUGGUAUCAGUGGUAGGGGAGCGUUCUAAGGACAGUGAAGUCAGACCGGAAGGACUGGUGGAGUGCUUAGAAGUGAGAAUGCCGGUAUGAGUAGCAAAGACGGGUGAGAAUCCCGUCCACCGAAUGCCUAAGGUUUCCUGAGGAAGGCUCGUCCGCUCAGGGUUAGUCAGGACCUAAGCCGAGGCCGACAGGCGUAGGCGAUGGACAACAGGUUGAUAUUCCUGUACCACCUCUUUAUCGUUUGAGCAAUGGAGGGACGCAGAAGGAUAGAAGAAGCGUGCGAUUGGUUGUGCACGUCCAAGCAGUUAGGCUGAUAAGUAGGCAAAUCCGCUUAUCGUGAAGGCUGAGCUGUGAUGGGGAAGCUCCUUAUGGAGCGAAGUCUUUGAUUCCCCGCUGCCAAGAAAAGCUUCUAGCGAGAUAAAAGGUGCCUGUACCGCAAACCGACACAGGUAGGCGAGGAGAGAAUCCUAAGGUGUGCGAGAGAACUCUGGUUAAGGAACUCGGCAAAAUGACCCCGUAACUUCGGGAGAAGGGGUGCUUUCUUAACGGAAAGCCGCAGUGAAUAGGCCCAAGCGACUGUUUAGCAAAAACACAGCUCUCUGCGAAGCCGUAAGGCGAAGUAUAGGGGGUGACACCUGCCCGGUGCUGGAAGGUUAAGGAGAGGGGUUAGCGUAAGCGAAGCUCUGAACUGAAGCCCCAGUAAACGGCGGCCGUAACUAUAACGGUCCUAAGGUAGCGAAAUUCCUUGUCGGGUAAGUUCCGACCCGCACGAAAGGUGUAACGAUUUGGGCACUGUCUCAACCAGAGACUCGGUGAAAUUAUAGUACCUGUGAAGAUGCAGGUUACCCGCGACAGGACGGAAAGACCCCGUGGAGCUUUACUGUAGCCUGAUAUUGAAUUUUGGUACAGUUUGUACAGGAUAGGCGGGAGCCUUUGAAACCGGAGCGCUAGCUUCGGUGGAGGCGCUGGUGGGAUACCGCCCUGACUGUAUUGAAAUUCUAACCUACGGGUCUUAUCGACCCGGGAGACAGUGUCAGGUGGGCAGUUUGACUGGGGCGGUCGCCUCCUAAAGUGUAACGGAGGCGCCCAAAGGUUCCCUCAGAAUGGUUGGAAAUCAUUCGUAGAGUGCAAAGGCAUAAGGGAGCUUGACUGCGAGACCUACAAGUCGAGCAGGGACGAAAGUCGGGCUUAGUGAUCCGGUGGUUCCGCAUGGAAGGGCCAUCGCUCAACGGAUAAAAGCUACCCCGGGGAUAACAGGCUUAUCUCCCCCAAGAGUCCACAUCGACGGGGAGGUUUGGCACCUCGAUGUCGGCUCAUCGCAUCCUGGGGCUGUAGUCGGUCCCAAGGGUUGGGCUGUUCGCCCAUUAAAGCGGUACGCGAGCUGGGUUCAGAACGUCGUGAGACAGUUCGGUCCCUAUCCGUCGUGGGCGUAGGAAAUUUGAGAGGAGCUGUCCUUAGUACGAGAGGACCGGGAUGGACGCACCGCUGGUGUACCAGUUGUUCUGCCAAGGGCAUAGCUGGGUAGCUAUGUGCGGAAGGGAUAAGUGCUGAAAGCAUCUAAGCAUGAAGCCCCCCUCAAGAUGAGAUUUCCCAUAGCGUAAGCUAGU